CGCGGCGCCCCCGACUCGCCGCUCGGCUCCGUUCGGGCAUUUCCGCCUCUUUGUUUUAAACUCCGGACGGGUUUUUUUCUGCUGCUCUUGGGGGGACCCGGAGGGAGCGGCGCCCCCCCCCCCCGGCGCCGCCCCGCGUGCGCCCCGCUCGCCGCAGCCGAGCCGGCAGGCUUCAAAAUGUAGCAGAGGGCUCCCGGCUGCCAUGGACAGAAAAUGGACAGAGAGCGAGGGACAGAAGGGAGGCGCACAGGUGAAGACCCACGGGGCAGAGUGAGGCCGCCGGCAAGGACGCGCAGCAUCGGAGCAGCAGCCUGAGCGCCCAAUGCGAAGGCCGGAGGAGAGGGCCGCAGACAUCUAGAGAGAAGCCAAAGAUGUUGACGAGAAAGAUUAAGCUCUGGGACAUAAACGCCCACAUCACCUGCCGCCUGUGCAGCGGGUAUCUCAUCGACGCGACCACGGUGACCGAGUGUCUGCACACGUUCUGUCGGAGUUGCCUGGUCAAGUACCUGGAGGAGAACAACACCUGCCCCACGUGUAGGAUCGUGAUCCACCAGAGCCACCCGCUGCAGUACAUCGGUCAUGACAGGACCAUGCAGGACAUUGUUUACAAACUGGUUCCGGGCCUUCAGGAAGCGGAAAUGAGGAAGCAGAGGGACUUCUACCACAAGUUAGGCAUGGAGGUGCCCGGAGACGUCAAGGGGGAGACCUGUUCUGCAAAGCAGCACCUCGACCCCCAUCGGAACGGUGAAACCAAAGCAGAUGACAGUUCGAACAAAGAAGCAGCAGAGGAGAAGCAGGAGGAGGACAACGACUACCACCGAAGCGACGAGCAGUUGGCAGAGAAACAUGUGCUUGCUCUGAAACAUCCUGAACGUAAAAGAAUUGAAGCCCAGACCCUGCACACGACUCCCCAGGUGAGCAUCUGUCUGGAGUGCAACAGCAGCAAACUACGCGGCCUGAAACGGAAGUGGAUCCGCUGCUCGGCCCAGGCCACGGUCCUGCACCUGAAGAAGUUCAUCGCCAAAAAACUUAACCUUUCGUCUUUCAAUGAGGAGAAAGACCAUCUGAAGAGCCCAUUUCCUUUUUCACUGAGCUGGACAUUUUAUGCAAUGAGGAAAUCCUGGGCAAGGACCACACGCUCAAAUUUGUGGUUGUCACGAGAUGGAGAUUCAAGAAGGCGCCGCUCCUGCUGCACUACAGACCCAAGAUGGACCUGCUCUGAGCGCGGCCCCACGCCGGGCCCCGCUGCACGCGGGUGUCGCCUGCGGUGUCGCGGGACCAGAUUCCUGAAUAGAGUAUUUAUAACUUUUGUAUGAGAGAAUUCACACUCGACAAGACACUACCAGCACCACGGUUACAAGACGACGAAACACUUCACAGUCUCAGCGGCCGGAGAGGCGCCUCUCGCAGACUAGAUGAUGGAGUUCCUGUGAAGUGGUUUCCACGACGGUUUCCGCUGGUAAAACAAGUGCUGUCCGGUCACCUUCUUCCUGUCUCACCGUCACCACAGUGGGAUGCGCUGCCCAGCACACGGUCUCACUAAAUGCAGUUUUCAUGAAGAUAGAAAAUUCAGAUAGAAUAUAUAAUAUUGAAUUUAAGAUUUGGGGGGUUAAAAAAAAGAAAACUUAACUUUAUAAAAUUAUUUAUUCUAUUUUAAGCCUUCUAUCAUAUUUUCCCAUCCAAUUGUUUGGUUUCCGUGGUCCAGCUUUAUUUACAGGCAUAUAAAAUGAAAUUGUGACAUGUUUUGCAAGCUUCUUCUUUUUACUUUGAGUAGCUUUUAAUUUGUAUGUUUUUGUUCUGUAUAGAUGAAGAGCAUCGUUUAUGCUUUUGUGCAAUAGGUUCCAGAUGCAUUGAUUAGACAUCUACCUAAAUUGUAACGUCACAUCUCUUCUGCUAAAUCGAAAGGGAAUGUAGGUGGAAUUCCAGUGUAUGUACAUUCAGCUCUUUGGGUUUUCCUUUUCCGUUGCUGUUCUAAGAACAAGAAUGCUGUUUGGGGAUGGUUUGUGUGUGUGCCCCGUGCGGCGGGGCGGCCGGGCAGGCGGCCGUGGACACCGGCCCCGCGUGCUCACGGCCCUGGAGGCACCGCCGCGUGUCAGCCACGGACGGGACGGUGCUACUUUCCUCGGGGCUCCUGGGCCCUCUGAAGCCUCCUUGUGGCGAAGUCUUUACAAAUUCGUUUCAUUUUUUUCUCUCAAAGUGCACAGGAGGGCGUUUUGCAGCAAUUUAAAAUGUGUCAUUGGAUCGAUUGUUCUAGGAACGAGCCAGCUGAUUUCUACUUUACAUGUGAAUAUUAGGUGUGCUCUCAAGACGCUGGAAGUAAACGUAGCGCAGAUAGCUGACCCAGGAAAAAGGCGGUUUCUCGGUUUCCUCAGGAAAGCACUUAGCUCCGGCACGUCCCCGGGGGCCGUAGCCUGAAAGCCAGGGUGCUGCUCUGCCUUGUGUCUAAACAAACGACCUAAGUUGGGAUCCGUAGCUUAGGAAACCCGUUGCUCGGGCUAGCUGUAAUCUUUACGAAGAUCCCGUCCCUGCCAGGCAGAGACAGGUGUCCCACCGAGGAGGCUGCCUGCGCCACCGCCCGCCCGCCCGUCGCCUGCACCGCGUGUGGCUCCCGUGUCCACGAGCGCAUCUGAAGGAUGGACUGAAGGUUGAGUGUCCCCUAAAGUGUGUGUAGCGUUAGUGUAAAUGUCUGUUCCAACGGCUUAAUUGGGUAUAAGAAAACCAUACUCUCCCCGAGCGACGUAGGGUUCAGGGCUGUGAGCCGCCAGUAACCUGAUCGUCACAUGUGGCAACAUGGACGCUGUCGCGGUUUACUGAGAUGACAAUGCAGAUACAUAUUUUUGACUGUUUAAUUUGAAAGUUUACAUUUUUUAUGCUUUGUGUUGGUGUGUAAUUUUUGUACUAUUGGUGGCUAGUUUUUGUCUAAAAUCUUUUUUGGAAUAUUGCUUAAAUGUUUUGAUUUUAUGAUAGUGAAGCUUGUACUCAGUGUUUUGCCAAUUAAUAUUAUAUGCUUGUAAUAAAAGCAAAAGAAAACUUACCUAAAAA
This is an RNA transcript of Canis lupus familiaris (dog), 3042 nucleotides long. It is a transcript of the gene named polycomb group ring finger 3, with no coding region annotated. Lineage: Eukaryota; Metazoa; Chordata; Mammalia; Carnivora; Canidae. The record is from RefSeq and is a predicted model, not a curated record. The transcript is spliced from 14 exons.